UCUUAUGUACAUGCCUACAAUGUUAAUGCAUCGAAUCUCAUCAAAAAUCUAUAGUUAAGCAUGUUUGGGCUAGAGAAGUACUGGGAUGGGUGAUCUCCCGAGAAGUCCUAGUGUUUUACAUGAC
Picea glauca (white spruce) is the source of this 124-nucleotide non-coding RNA. The record is from Rfam. NCBI's taxonomy places the organism in Eukaryota, Viridiplantae, Streptophyta, Pinopsida, Pinales, Pinaceae.